AAUGCUUGGGAAUAUGCCUUUAGGUGGGGGACAACAGUUGGAAACGACUGCUAAUACCGCAUAAUGUCUACGGACCAAAGUGGGGACCUUCGGGCCUCACGCCAUAAGAUCAGCCCAAGUGGGAUUAGCUAGUUGGUAAGGUAAUGGCUUACCAAGGCGACGAUCCCUAGCUGGUUUGAGAGGAUGAUCAGCCACACUGGGACUGAGACACGGCCCAGACUCCUACGGGAGGCAGCAGUGGGGAAUAUUGCACAAUGGGCGCAAGCCUGAUGCAGCCAUGCCGCGUGUGUGAAGAAGGCCUUCGGGUUGUAAAGCACUUUCAGUAAGGAGGAAAGGUUAAGUGUUAAUAGCACUUAGCUGUGACGUUACUUACAGAAGAAGCACCGGCUAACUCCGUGCCAGCAGCCGCGGUAAUACGGAGGGUGCGAGCGUUAAUCGGAAUUACUGGGCGUAAAGCGUACGCAGGCGGUUUGUUAAGCGAGAUGUGAAAGCCCCGGGCUCAACCUGGGAACUGCAUUUCGAACUGGCAAACUAGAGUGUGAUAGAGGGUGGUAGAAUUUCAGGUGUAGCGGUGAAAUGCGUAGAGAUCUGAAGGAAUACCGAUGGCGAAGGCAGCCACCUGGGUCAACACUGACGCUCAUGUAC
This 645-nucleotide ribosomal RNA is filed under the name uncultured Pseudoalteromonas sp. Its description in RNAcentral is "bacterial SSU rRNA". It matches the Rfam family "Bacterial small subunit ribosomal RNA", at positions 112 to 754 of the family's 1533-position model. The record is from RNAcentral. Lineage: Bacteria; Pseudomonadati; Pseudomonadota; Gammaproteobacteria; Alteromonadales; Pseudoalteromonadaceae.